Molecule: long non-coding RNA, 674 nt
Organism: Hibiscus syriacus
Lineage: Eukaryota; Viridiplantae; Streptophyta; Magnoliopsida; Malvales; Malvaceae
Exons: 4
Source: RefSeq, a predicted model, not a curated record
CUUCCCCAACUAUCAACAUUGCCAUUACCACUCUGCUAAAACCUCAUCUCCAAACUCCAAACGAACCCACCAGUCUUUUCUCCCUCCCUCUUCACCCCCUUCUUUCAUCAACAACUCCCACUACAAAUAUCAACCCUUUCUCAUCACAAAAUCCCAUGUCCCUCAAACGGAGGACUAAAGUUUCAUUCUUUUCUAUGUUUUUCACACAAGAGAGAGAUGUGAAGGGCCUCAAAGAUGAGCUUUUUUUAUGUCAUAUCACCUCUCGAUCGUGGCACCGAGGCUACCCCAGAGGAUCGAGAGCGUGUGGAUCAGGUUGCACUCAAACUCGAGGAGUGAAUAGGGGAAAUGAGCCUCUUGAAUCUAACUUGUUGAAUAGAAAAUGGAAGCUUUUGUACACAACAUCCAAACCAGAUUUGCAAACAAAGAGGCCAAAGUUCUUGAGACCCAAUGGAAAGAUCUACUGAUGAUGAACCGGUGAAUCAUAUUAUUUGUGUAGGAAAUGUGCAUCUCAACAUAUCGCCAUCCCAAUUAUUGCUGAGAUAGAUCUCUACAAGUUUGAUCAAUGACAACUUCCAGAUAUGGUGUUGUACAGUGGAAUACCCAAACGGAAGUCGGCCGAACCGGACGGCCAGAAUGGUAUACUGGAAGGCAAAUUUUACAAUUUUAUAUUUUAA